AUGAUUUUUGCCUUUGAAUUCUUGAGUGGUCCUCCGUUCCUAGGUCACAAGGGUAUUCUGCUGGAUAUUCUUUUGUUUUAAUUGUAUCUUUUAGGUGUUCAGUCCACCUGGAGUCUACCCUUUUGGGUGAUGAAGACAGGGACCCAGCUUUAAGUUUGUCCUGGGUAGGUUUAGGUUUAGCGAGGGCUGGCUACCUUCACUCACAUGGGAUUUAGAAGCCCAGUCAGUCCACUCAUCAGUGUUUGUCUUAGUGGUUUGCUCAUCAGUCCAAUAAUUCCUUUGAGGAUGUGAGACCGCAGCAGGACCCUCACUUGUAUAUAUUUUGUGUUUAUAUAAACAGUCACAUUCUAGAUUCAUAUAAUUGUAGUACAAACAAGAGAGAACUACAGUUCUGGGAAAAAUGACUGUAAACUAUUUAACUUUUAAUAUAAGUUGUAGAUCAGCACUGUCCAACUGGACUUUAUGAGAUGAUGGAAACGCUUUCUGGCUGCACUGGUAGCUGUGAGCCACAGGUAGCUACUGAGCACUUGAUGUAGCUAGCAUAACUGAGGAACUGAAUUCUUAGUUUUAUUUAACUUUGAUUAAAUUUACUUUUUUUUUUUUUUUUUUUUUGAGACUGAGUUUCGCUCUUGUUGCCCAGGCUGGAGUGCAAUGGUAUGAUCUCAGCUCACUGCAACCUCCACCUCCCAGAUUCAAGCGAUUCUCCUGCCUCAGCCUCCCAAGUAGCUGGGACUAUAGGUACCCACCACCACGCCCGGCUAAUUUUUGUAUUUUUAGUAGAGACAGGUUUUCACCAUGUUGGCUAAAUUUAAAUAGCUACAUGUGACUGUGGUUACCAUAUUGGACGAUGCAGGCCAGAUUAAAACACUAGGACAGCACUGCAGAAAUUUAUGCAUUUAUUUGAGGUUUUAGGGGGUAAAAUGAGAAACAGAAAAGGAAAGAUGAACAAGCAGGAAGCUGUAAACAGAGUGUGGGAGUUAAUAUUUGUUAAGUGCCUACUCUGUGCCAGGCACAUACAUCCCUAAUUUAGCCCUGACUUGCACCCUAUGAGCUUGGGUGACUUACUCCCAUUUAAAAGAUUGGGAAGGCUGGACAGAUGGCCCACACCUGUAAUCCCAGCAUUUUGGGAGGCCGAGAUGGGUGAAUCACUUGAGCCCAGGAGUUCAAGAUCAACCUGGGCAACAUAGUGAGACUCCAUCUCUACAAAAAAUACAAAAAUUGGCUGAGCAUGGUGGCCUG
Molecule: long non-coding RNA, 1239 nt
Filed under: Homo sapiens (human)
Lineage: Eukaryota; Metazoa; Chordata; Mammalia; Primates; Hominidae
Description: non-protein coding lnc-GP9-3:1
Source: RNAcentral